UACGGGGGGGGCAAGCGUUGUUCGGAAUUACUGGGCGUAAAGGGCUCGUAGGCGGCCAACUAAGUCCGACGUGAAAUCCCCAGCUUAACCUGGGAACUGCGUCGGAUACUGGAUGGCUUGAAUUCGGGAGAGGGAUGCAGAAUUCCAGGUGUAGCGGUGAAAUGCGUAGAUAUCUGGAGGAAUACCGGUGGCGAAGGCGGCAUCCUGGACCGGCAUUGACGCUGAUGAGCGAAAGCUAGGGAGCAAACGGG
RNAcentral lists this ribosomal RNA (251 nucleotides) under uncultured bacterium. Its description in RNAcentral is "partial 16S ribosomal RNA". It matches the Rfam family "Bacterial small subunit ribosomal RNA", at positions 524 to 776 of the family's 1533-position model. The record is from RNAcentral.